Molecule: ribosomal RNA, 434 nt
Filed under: uncultured bacterium
Lineage: Bacteria
Description: partial 16S ribosomal RNA
Rfam family: Bacterial small subunit ribosomal RNA
Source: RNAcentral
AGCGAACGCUGGCGGCAGGCCUAACACAUGCAAGUCGAACGAACCUUUCGGGGUUAGUGGCGGACGGGUGAGUAACACGUGGGAACGUGCCUUUAGGUUCGGAAUAACUCAGGGAAACUUGUGCUAAUACCGAAUGUGCCCUUCGGGGGAAAGAUUUAUCGCCUUUAGAGCGGCCCGCGUCUGAUUAGCUAGUUGGUUGAGGUAAUGGCUCACCAAGGCGACGGUCAGUAGCUGGUCUGAGAGGAUGAUCAGCCACAUUGGAACUGAGACACGGCCCAAACUCCUACGGGAUGCAGGAGUGGGGAAUCUUGCGCAAUGGGCGAAAGCCUGACGCAGCCAUGCCGCGUGAAUGAUGAAGGUCUUGGGAUUGUAAAAUUCAUUCACCGGUGACGAUAAUGACGGUACCCGGAGAAGAAGCCCCGGCUAACUUCGUG